GGGACACGUGGUAUCCUGUCUGAAUAUGGGGGGACCAUCCUCCAAGGCUAAAUACUCCUGACUGACCGAUAGUGAACCAGUACCGUGAGGGAAAGGCGAAAAGAACCCCGGCGAGGGGAGUGAAAAAGAACCUGAAACCGUGUACGUACAAGCAGUGGGAGCCUCUUAAUGGGGUGACUGCGUACCUUUUGUAUAAUGGGUCAGCGACUUAUAUUCUGUAGCAAGGUUAACCGAAUAGGGGAGCCGAAGGGAAACCGAGUCUUAACUGGGCGUUAAGUUGCAGGGUAUAGACCCGAAACCCGGUGAUCUAGCCAUGGGCAGGUUGAAGGUUGGGUAACACUAACUGGAGGACCGAACCGACUAAUGUUGAAAAAUUAGCGGAUGACUUGUGGCUGGGGGUGAAAGGCCAAUCAAACCGGGAGAUAGCUGGUUCUCCCCGAAAGCUAUUUAGGUAGCGCCUCGUGAAUUCAUCUCCGGGGGUAGAGCACUGUUUCGGCAAGGGGGUCAUCCCGACUUACCAACCCGAUGCAAACUGCGAAUACCGGAGAAUGUUAUCACGGGAGACACACGGCGGGUGCUAACGUCCGUCGUGAAGAGGGAAACAACCCAGACCGCCAGCUAAGGUCCCAAAGUCAUGGUUAAGUGGGAAACGAUGUGGGAAGGCCCAGACAGCCAGGAUGUUGGCUUAGAAGCAGCCAUCAUUUAAAGAAAGCGUAAUAGCUCACUGGUCGAGUCGGCCUGCGCGGAAGAUGUAACGGGGCUAAACCAUGCACCGAAGCUGCGGCAGCGACACUAUGUGUUGUUGGGUAGGGGAGCGUUCUGUAAGCCUGUGAAGGUGUACUGUGAGGUAUGCUGGAGGUAUCAGAAGUGCGAAUGCUGACAUAAGUAACGAUAAAGCGGGUGAAAAGCCCGCUCGCCGGAAGACCAAGGGUUCCUGUCCAACGUUAAUCGGGGCAGGGUGAGUCGACCCCUAAGGCGAGGCCGAAAGGCGUAGUCGAUGGGAAACAGGUUAAUAUUCCUGUACUUGGUGUUACUGCGAAGGGGGGACGGAGAAGGCUAUGUUGGCCGGGCGACGGUUGUCCCGGUUUAAGCGUGUAGGCUGGUUUUCCAGGCAAAUCCGGAAAAUCAAGGCUGAGGCGUGAUGACGAGGCACUACGGUGCUGAAGCGACAAAUGCCCUGCUUCCAGGAAAAGCCUCUAAGCAUCAGGUAACAUCAAAUCGUACCCCAAACCGACACAGGUGGUCAGGUAGAGAAUACCAAGGCGCUUGAGAGAACUCGGGUGAAGGAACUAGGCAAAAUGGUGCCGUAACUUCGGGAGAAGGCACGCUGAUAUGUAGGUGAAGCGACUUGCUCGUGGAGCUGAAAUCAGUCGAAGAUACCAGCUGGCUGCAACUGUUUAUUAAAAACACAGCACUGUGCAAACACGAAAGUGGACGUAUACGGUGUGACGCCUGCCCGGUGCCGGAAG
This 1469-nucleotide ribosomal RNA is filed under the name Escherichia coli. Its description in RNAcentral is "partial 23S ribosomal RNA". It matches the Rfam family "Bacterial large subunit ribosomal RNA", at positions 419 to 1875 of the family's 2925-position model. The record is from RNAcentral. Lineage: Bacteria; Pseudomonadati; Pseudomonadota; Gammaproteobacteria; Enterobacterales; Enterobacteriaceae.